Melitaea cinxia (Glanville fritillary) is the source of this 273-nucleotide long non-coding RNA. RefSeq lists it as uncharacterized. The transcript is spliced from 2 exons. The record is from RefSeq and is a predicted model, not a curated record. Lineage: Eukaryota; Metazoa; Arthropoda; Insecta; Lepidoptera; Nymphalidae.
UUUUGAGCGUUUCUUGUUGUAAAGAAACAUCGCGCGCCCACGCAUCGCGCGAGACGCGAGCUAUUACUAGAGUGUGUGUCGCCGGCCCUGGGGCAAGGUUGCCUGGAAAAGUGCAAAUAAUACCGCACAUCAUAAAAAUUGGUUAAAACGAAGGUAUUCCACAGAAGUCGGCACUGGAGGCGUGAAUUUUGUAAUAAGUAGUAAUACGAGUAUAAGUGUCAAUUACGAGUUUUGUAUGAGAUAAUUCGGAAUUAAAUGUUUUAUUUUUCCUCA